This 624-nucleotide long non-coding RNA is filed under the name Sus scrofa (pig). RNAcentral's name for it is "lncRNA (ENSSSCG00025031464.1, ENSSSCG00035027997.1)". Lineage: Eukaryota; Metazoa; Chordata; Mammalia; Artiodactyla; Suidae. The record is from RNAcentral.
GUCUGUAGGAGAACGGGCGCCAUUCUUUAGCUGGGAAACCAUAUGGCACGACGAGUAAUAAAUAAGGUAUUGUGAUAGUUAAUGAACCUAAUUGCCAGCAAAGGCUUUAAUACAGAGACUGUGCUGCUGAGAAUUUAGCACCACAUUAGGGAUGCCGCGGAGCUCCCCUGACUUCUGAGGCUUAAUUUAAGUUCUAUAUUGCAAACUCCAGAAAAUAAUUCCAAACCCUCCUGCUGGAAAAGCAACCUGCUGGUAGACUGUGAUUAUACCGAAUUACUAAAAUCGCAAUCAAUUUUCUACACACGGUUAACCCUUGCCAGGAAGGACUCACGGGGAGGAGAGGGAUCAGGACGGCAGCCCGUUCUACCUGUGGCUCCGUAUUGAGGACAGCGAGAGGCAGGAAAGGAGUGGUGCCUGAAGAAAGGGACCAGAGCCAGCUCCAGACCAUGCAAGGAGAAAAGAGAAACACAAAUGCUCUCCCUGGUAAGCAAUUGACAGAACGCAGAGAUUCCACUUAAACAGCAAGCAAGAUGGAGAGGUGAAAGGAGUGGGCGUUGACCAGCCCAAGGGCACAGGUAAGGUCGUUGAAUUUCCACCUCUGGUGUCCUUUCCACUUAGAGAGAU